RNAcentral lists this long non-coding RNA (3914 nucleotides) under Eutrema salsugineum. Its description in RNAcentral is "long non-coding RNA (ESAL_LNC000611)". Lineage: Eukaryota; Viridiplantae; Streptophyta; Magnoliopsida; Brassicales; Brassicaceae. The record is from RNAcentral.
ACUUCACAGCAAAACCACGAGGAUCUCUCAGAGUCUCAGGGCUGCCACGCUCAUGGAUCACAGUUGAGAAACGAGCAAUAACAGGAGUCUGAACACCAGGUCCUCGAAGAAAAUCAGCACAAGUAAGGUGUGUAAUGUCAUGAGUGACUUCAAAGAAACCCUUUGCACUGGCACCUCUAGCAUGAACUACCCUCUCAGGGAUCCGCUCCCUGUCAAAGUUGGCGAUUUUCUCAAGCAGAUGGUAGUCCUCCAGAAGAAUUGGACCUGACAAUAUAUAAAAAUUAUACCUUUUUCUAAAUUUCCAAACCAGCGCACAUAAUAAAACAUGAAGACUUAUAUCAGAUUUGGCUUAUAACUGAAGGAAGAAAGCUGAGUGACUUCACACAAGUCCAAAAAACCACUGGCAUUCUCAUCUACACGUUUUUGACUUCCAUUAAUAGCUACAAGGACAUUAUUUCUGACAACCACUGGUUCACCUGUUCGCAAUGAUUGUUUAUUUGCAUUAAAGAGAUACAAAAUAGAAACGCACCUCUGGUGCCAACAGACAAAGAAGAGUUGUUGUUCCAGACUGGAGCACCCGAGUUUGUAGUGAAGAAGGGCGAAUCAUGAGCGCUUGAAGGACGAUGCUGCACCAAAAAAAGUAAAUUAAAAAAAAAAAAUGUAACUGGAUCAAGUAUUUAACCAAAUUCCCUUAGAUUGGAGAAUGUCUUUGAGAAGUGAUGAUACUUAAUAAAUAGCAGUAGUAGAAAGUAUAAACAAAUAACCAGAUUCCACAAAAGCCAGAUUAACUAUAGAAAUUUAGGAAGCAAUGCUAACAUUUUUCGUAGCUGUUAUUUGAGCUGCAAUGACAUUCAAAAAUCGAACACGGUGACUAAAUAACGAACAAAGGAAGCCACAAUCGUAGAGAAACCUUAGAACAUGAUGAUCUCCAACGAUAUCGACAGAUGAGACUUGUUAAUUCGAGCAUGUGCAUAUGGAAAAAUAAACAAUCAAUAGACGUAAACAUCUACACUCCUAAAAGUUUUAAGUAAUCUUUUAAUCUUAAACACAUGCAAGUUUCUGGCAAUUAAAAAUCCCUCCACAGAAUAAAGAAAUCGAUUUAAAGACCCCACAAAAAAAAACCUCAAAUAAUCGAACAAUCACCGCAACGCUCCAACACAUAUUUUGGACCAUUUUUUCCCUCGAUCAAGUUACGAGAGAAAACGAACCGAGUAUCAAAUUUCUCACAUGAUCCGCAAAGAGAAAUCGUCAAGGAACCAGAAUCAUACUCUCCGUAUAUCAAAUCGAAACACCAAAUUAACACGAAACGGACUCAGAUCCAGAAUCAAGCAAGACAAAAAAUUAAAGUUUACGAAAGGAGCCUAAGAGAAUCGAUCCAAGUACCCUGUAAGGAUCCAUGAUGCAGACAACUUUAUCCGAAUUCUCCUUGCGAUUUUAGCUGUGUGAGACUGAAUUUUUCCCUCUGUAUCUACGCGAAUUGGCGUGUGUUCCCCACUAUUGCCCGCGUUUUAUAGCGAGGUAGAUAAAUAUCUUAUUUUAGCUCCUUCCAAAAGCCCACCGCGAGAAAAUGAAAUCAUCUCUGGCAACGUGUGCUUAUUUGGGGAUUACGUGAUUAUCCAAAUAAAUAAUUAUUCCCAAAUUAAUCCUCCAAUUACGUGUGGAUAAUAUCGUCUUUGUCGUCGCUAGAUAUAUACUAUACCAUAAAAAUAGACAAGUGUUGUUUUCAAUCCAGGAUUUAUCUAUCCCUUACAAUAAUUAAAAUACUCGUAGAAUUAUUUUAUACAAUAAGAUAUUUACUGCUUCAAGAAACAUUGAUUUUAUUAUGAAGAGAUUACAAAGCCAGUGACCAGUAAAACGAAGGAAACAUCGGUGUAGAGGAUUACAAGCAUCAAUAUUAUACAGAAACGAAACAACAACACAGGGAUAUAUCUUUUGAGUUGUAUUGAUAUAUCUUUUGAGGGACUUAACGACCAAACGAUGAUGGAUCGAUUGAGAGUUUCACGAUCAUACCUUGCGUAGACAAGCAACUCUGGAGAUUGGUCUCUAGAUGCUUGGCCUCACGUUGAGACGGCUUGCUAGUUUCUGUCCCAGAGAACGAUCAGCCUGAAAGAGGAGAGAUUAAGAAUGUUAGCCUUGCUGAAAAUGUUGCACAACCAAUAAAGGAAGCAGAAGAUUUCACUUGAUUUUUUUUUUUUUUUUCUGACCUGAGACCAGUAAGAGAUCCAGAUGCUGCGGAUUUCGUGAGUGAGACGUGGCUCCGACAGAAUCUCAACCCAUCUCUUAACAAACCGGUCUUGCCUGUGAACAAAAGUGAAACAUGAAAAGAUUAGGAAUUAAGCUUUGUCCAGUGAGAUUUUGUGAGAGUUAAGUUAAGAGAAAUGAAACUUCUUCUUUACCUGUCUGGUGCCCAUGAUCUGUAUCUAUCUCCAGGCUGUUUGAAGUUGUUCUCCUUCUUGAUGAUGCACUGCAACAUAAGCAAUAAAAAAGUUUUUUUUAGCAGACGAUUCGAAUAAAUUGAGAUAAAGUUUUAAGGAUUUGAAAAAAAAGGCAUGGAGUGAAUCAAACCUUUGUUCGGAUUCCAGUGUAGGAUUUGUUAGGAAUAGGAACUUUCUCGGCGCAGCGGACGGGAUCAAACUUUGAGGGGUAGUAAUUAAUCUGUAAAAGCAAACACCAGAUAAAGACUUUAAUACCAAAUCAAAAGACCAAUAAUUGUAGCAUGUAACACAAGUUAAUACUAAUAGUUACCUCCUCAUCUCUGUGCAUGAAGUUCAUAAAACCUUCAUGGUGAUUGUUGUGGUGAGCACACUUGGGAGCAUUGACCGGUAGCUGAAGAUAAUUCGGUCCAAGACGAUGUCUCUGAGUGUCACCAUAGGCAAAGAUCCUACACUGGAGCAGCUUGUCGUCCGAGUAGUAGAUCCCAGGAACCACAAGACCAGGGUUGAAUGCGAGCUGCUCAGUUUCAUUGAAGAAGUUGUCAAUGGUCCUGUUCAGAACCAAGCGACCAACUGGCUGCAGAGGCAAGAUAUCCUCAGGCCAGAUCUUGGUCACAUCAAGCGGGUCGAAAUCAAACUUGUCCUCAUCCGCAGGAUCCAUGGUCUGGAUGAAAAGCUUCCACUCGGGGUAGUUACCAGAUGCAAUAGCGUCGUGGAGAUCCUUGGUUGCGUGGCUGUGAUUGGCUCCUCCAACUACCUUUGCCUCUUCAUCAGUCAAGUUCUUGAUCCCACAAGUGGGUUUCCAAUGGAACUUGACGAAGAGAACUUUUCCAGAUUUGGAAACAAGAGUGUAGGUGUGGACACCGAAACCUUCCAUGUGCCUGUAAUCUUGUGGAAUACCAACAUCAUCAAACAUCCAGCACCAUGUGAGCAAACUCUCCGGUAAAUGGGACAUGUAGUCCAAUAUCCUCCAGUACUCCUGGAUGUUGGUUUUGGGGUUCGGUUUCAACGCGUGGACCACAUCUGGGAAUUGAAUCCCGUCGCGGAUGAAGAACACCGGAGUGUUGUUACCAACAAGAUCAAAGUUCCCCUGAGUUUAUAACAAAGCAGCAGCAGCAAGACACACGUUCAGUAUACUGAUUCUCAAGAAGCCAGAGGAGAUCAACAAUGGAAAAAGGUAAUCUUUUAGCACACUAUACCUCUCUGGUGUAGAACUUAACGGCGAAACCACGAAUAUCCCUCAUGGUUUCAGGGCUGGCACGCUCGUGAACGACGGUGGAGAAACGGACGAUAACGGGAGUUUGAACACCAGGUGCUCGGAGAAAAUCAGCACAGGUGAGGUUUGAAAUGUCAUGGGUGACCUCAAAGAAACCCUUGGCACUGAUUCCUCUGGCAUGAACCACUCUCUCAGGAAUCCUUUCUCUGGUGAAAUUCGCAACUUUCUCGAUCAGAUGGUAGUCUUCGAGAAGAACCGGACCUGCC